UAGCCCAAAUCUGAUCACAACCAGCUAUCGCUCGCUGUUGCCUCUCCAGAAAGUUUAAUCCUCAAAUCCAUUCGGCGGAAUCAAAAUCCCUAACCCUAAUUCCCUAGUCGACAUCGUCGCUGGCAUGACACCUCUGUCGAGUUAGUCAAGAAAAGAACUCGAAGCAGAGGAUAUGACCAUUGGAGGCCUGCGCUAAAGGGUGUUUGGGUUGUUCUACAUUACGGUUCAAAGCACAAGUCGCUCGGUUCAAGGCAGUGUUAAUCUUCUUUAUGCAGUCAUUCUCAUAAUAAUGCGUAGCUGUGGAAAUGGCUUCAUGUGUGAUGGGAGUCUGAGCGAUUCUAAAGCGUGCCCGGUUCAAACUAUUUGGGCUGGCUCUAUUAGCCUAGGCACUGGAGCAGAUCAAGUUAAAUUUGCAGCAGCCAAGAACCAUUCUACCGUGCAAGAGUCAUGGGACAUAGCAGAUGUGCUAAUCAUUUAUUGUCAUAUUUCCUUACCAAAAACAUGAGAGAGAGUGAGAUAUAUGAGAUCAUGCUAUUGUUUUGUUUCAUGUGUGCGAUAUUUUCAUUAAAAAAAUACACUAGGAAAUAACUUGAGAGAAACUUGUAACAAUAUUUGGAUUUAAAUGACAUUCCCAAUUUA
Prunus mume (Japanese apricot) is the source of this 639-nucleotide long non-coding RNA. RefSeq lists it as uncharacterized. The record is from RefSeq and is a predicted model, not a curated record. NCBI's taxonomy places the organism in Eukaryota, Viridiplantae, Streptophyta, Magnoliopsida, Rosales, Rosaceae.